Molecule: non-coding RNA, 32 nt
Filed under: Caldalkalibacillus thermarum TA2.A1
Lineage: Bacteria; Bacillati; Bacillota; Bacilli; Caryophanales; Bacillaceae
Description: L31-Firmicutes ribosomal protein leader
Rfam family: L31-Firmicutes ribosomal protein leader
Source: RNAcentral
CUCUGUUUCGGUUGAUUCAGGGCAAAAAGGAG